This 433-nucleotide ribosomal RNA is filed under the name uncultured bacterium. RNAcentral describes it as "partial 16S ribosomal RNA". It matches the Rfam family "Bacterial small subunit ribosomal RNA", at positions 28 to 507 of the family's 1533-position model. The record is from RNAcentral.
GACGAACGCUGGCGGCAUGCCUAACACAUGCAAGUCGAACGAAACCGCCGGGCUUUUUGGCGCAUGGCGGCGUAACGCGUGGGGACUUGCCCGUAGGUUCCGAAUACCUCCCUGAAAGGGGUCCUAAUACCGGAUAAGCUCUUCCCACCUAAGAUGUAUUGCGCUUGGAUGGGCCCGCGUUGGAUUCGAUUGUUGGUAGGGUAAAAGCAUAUCAAGGCCUCGUUCCAUAGCUGGUUUGAGAGCAUGAUCCGACACACUUGGACUCAGACACGGCCCGGAAUCCUACGGGAGGCAGCAGAGGGGAAUAUUGGACAAUGGGGGAAAGCCUGAUCCAGCAAUGCCGGGUAAGUGAUGAAGGCCUUAGGGAUGUAAAGCUCUUUUACCCGGGAUGAUAAUGACGGUACCGGGAGAAUAAGCACCGGCUAACUCCGUG